Long non-coding RNA from Xyrauchen texanus (razorback sucker), 1083 nucleotides. RefSeq lists it as uncharacterized. Lineage: Eukaryota; Metazoa; Chordata; Actinopteri; Cypriniformes; Catostomidae. The record is from RefSeq and is a predicted model, not a curated record. The transcript has 3 exons.
GUCCUUGAGUAAGACACUUAACUCCAGGUUGCUCCGGGGGGAUUGUCCCUGUAAUAAGUGCUCUGUAUAAUACAUUGGUAAUCAGAAGGUUGCUGGUUUGAUCCCCACAGUCACCACCAUUGUGUCCUUGAGUAAGGCACUUAACUCCAGGUUGUUCCGGGGGGAUUGUCCCUGUAAUAAGUGCUCUGUAUAAUACAUUGGUACUCAGAAGGUUGCUGGUUUGAUCCCCACAGUCACCACCAUUGUGUCCUUGAGUAAGACACUUAACUCCAGGUUGCUCUGGGGGGAUUGUCCCUGUAAUAAGUGCUCUGUAUAAUACAUUGGUACUCAGAAGGUUGCUGGUUUGAUCCCCACAGUCACCACCAUUGUGUCCUUGAGUAAGACACUUAACUCCAGGUUGCUCCAGGGGGGAUUGUCCCUGUAAUAAGUGCUCUGUAUAAUACAUUGGUACUCAGAAGGUUGCUGGUUUGAUCCCCACAGUCACCACCAUUGUGUCCUUGAGUAAGACACUUAACUCCAGGUUGCUCCGGGGGGAUUGUCCCUGUAAUAAGGGCACUAUAAGUCACCAUUAUAACCAAAUAACAGGUGAGACCAGGGAUGUACAACAUUCAGAACUGAACUAGGAAUUAAAUUCAUGAAGUUGAAUUGAGGUGGUCAAAUAGGAUGCUAAAUUCUAAUCUGAAUAUUCCAGGUUCAAUACAAGCUCAUUUGUGACAAUGUUGAUUAACACAAAAGCUAUUUUAAAUUUGCCCCACAUUUAUUUUAAAAUCACUGUUACAGAGAGAUACUUACAAUGGAAGUGAAUGGGGGCCAAUCCAAAAACAUUAUACUCACUGAUUAGUCACAAGAUCAGGGAUGGAUUACCGACCAGCCAAUGGGGCCAGUGCCCAGGGAACUUGACUACCAACCGGGGUGCCCUGGGAUUUAAGGCAGAGCGAUCUAGUUUGGUGAUCCCCAAUUGAAAAGCCUUUUGGGAAUGAACGCUGACCCCCGGCUCAACCACUUUUGGGUUGAGGGAGGCCCUUGGAGAUAAUUGGUCCCCAGGCCUUUGCAAUCAUAAUCCGUCUCUGCACAGGAUGUACA